RNAcentral lists this ribosomal RNA (230 nucleotides) under uncultured bacterium. RNAcentral's name for it is "partial 16S ribosomal RNA". It matches the Rfam family "Bacterial small subunit ribosomal RNA", at positions 89 to 334 of the family's 1533-position model. The record is from RNAcentral.
AGUACAGUGGCGUACGGGUGAGUAACACGUGGGUGAUCACCUUUUAGUGGGGAAUAACCCUGGGAAACUAGGGCUAAUACCGCAUAAUCCCGAGAGGGGAAAGCAGCAAUGCGCUGAAAGAGGAGCCCGCGGCCGAUUAGCUAGUUGGUAGGGUAAGAGCCUACCAAGGCAGAGAUCGGUAGCCGGCCUGAGAGGGCACACGGCCACACUGGCACUGAAACACGGGCCAG